RNA transcript from Canis lupus familiaris (dog), 1332 nucleotides. It is a transcript of the gene named 3-galactosyl-N-acetylglucosaminide 4-alpha-L-fucosyltransferase FUT3-like, with no coding region annotated. NCBI's taxonomy places the organism in Eukaryota, Metazoa, Chordata, Mammalia, Carnivora, Canidae. The transcript has 4 exons. The record is from RefSeq and is a predicted model, not a curated record.
CGCUGGGCCCGUAUCAGGGGACAGUGAUUAAGCGCCUGCUGUGUACCAGCCCGGGUGCUGAGCCCCGAAGGAGGCACCCGGAUCUCCGUCUCUCAGCUGGGAAACUGAGGCCCAAACAGGUGUGGGCCUGCUGCUGCUCCUCGGUCUCCACGUGGUGCCUCACUCCACGUACACCCUCCUCCUUCUCCAUCGCACCCCAGGACACCUCCCUGGCCUUCCUAUUGGGGAUCUCCCUGAAAGAAGCUGUCUGUUGCCCAGUUGCUAGAAUCAUCACUGGCUCCCUGCUACUCUGAGAAUCAAGUCUGGGCUUCUGAACUUGUCCGAGGGGACUCUGCGUCUAUCUUUGAAGGUGAAGACAGAGUGAAGGUCGGGAAACUGGGGUCCAAAGAAGUGAAGUGAUUUGCUCCAGAUCAAACAAGUGUAAGUGGCCAAGCUGGGAUUUGAAUACAGAUAGUCAGGUGAACUCCUACUCAUCCCUCAAAGUCCUGGCCCCAAGACCCCCUCCACGUUCUUCAUCUCUGUACCACACGGCCUCUCUAACGGCAACAGUAAUAACAUUAACGCCCCCACCACGUUGGCUAUUACGCUUAUUCAGUGGCGAGCACUGUGCUAAGUGCUUUCCACAUGUUUAAUGGUCCCCGCAGUCCCUGGAAAAGAUGUCAUUAUUCCCCACGCCGGGAAACUGAGGCCCAGAGUAGAGUCACUUGCUCAAGGUGAUACCAAAAAUAAGGGGCACCUGGGUGGCUCAGUGGGUUAAGCAUCUGACUCUUGAUUUCGGUUGAGGUCACGGUCUCAGGGUCAUGGGAUGGAGCCAUGCAGGGACCAUGUGGAAAAAGCUUGGAAAGAAGAAAGAAGGAAAGGAAGAUAGCGGCCGAGCUGAGGUUGAACUUGACUCUGACUCCAAACUUGUUCUCUCAAAUGCCUCCGCAGGCCCUGGGACCUGAGUGGCCGAGGGUAAUGCUGAGGGGGAUGGCAGCAGCCAGAGGGCAUGGCAGGUCCUGCCUGUUGGGGGAGUGAAGGGGCUGACGUCCACUGAGAGGACAGGUUUUCCCAAAGACACGCAGCAGAGCAGAACCAGCAAGUAAAUAAAGUGCCCACGUGGCAGCAAGCCCUGUGUGCCAGGCCCAGCUCCGCGCCCGACACAUCAGACCAAGCCUUCCUGGGCGCCUACUGUGUGCUGGGCCAGCCAGGGAGCUCAAGGGGACCCAGGCCGACCUGCGCCCCACGCUUGCCAAGCUGCCCGUCCAAUCAGGGUUUGGGGGGGCAGGUAAGAGAGAAGACAUAAAUAAAUAAAUAAGGUAAUCUGGAUGUCAGCAGCACGACAAAAUAAAA